Molecule: ribosomal RNA, 432 nt
Filed under: uncultured bacterium
Lineage: Bacteria
Description: partial 16S ribosomal RNA
Rfam family: Bacterial small subunit ribosomal RNA
Source: RNAcentral
CCUACGGGAGGCUGCAGUAGGGAAUCUUUCACAAUGGGCGAAAGCCUGAUGGAGCAACGCCGCGUGCAGUAUGAAGGCCUUCGGGUUGUAAACUGCUUUUAUAAGCGAGAAAUAUGAUGGUAACUUAUGAAUAAGGAUCGGCUAACUACGUGCCAGCAGCCGCGGUCAUACGUAGGAUCCGAGCAUUAUCCGGAGUGACUGGGUGUAAAGUGUUGCGUAUGUGGAAUAAUAAGUAGCUAGUGAAAUCUGGUGGCUCAACCAUUCAGACUAUUAGGUAAACUGUUAAGCUCGAGACCGUUAGAGGUAACUGGAAUUGGUAGGGGAGGGGUGAAAGGCGGAGAUAUUAGGAGGAACACCGAUAGCGAAGGCAGGUUGCUGGGACGGUACUGACACUAAGGAACGAAAGCGUAGGGAGAAAACAGGAGUAGAUAC